Ribosomal RNA from Cricetulus griseus (Chinese hamster), 150 nucleotides. It matches the Rfam family "5.8S ribosomal RNA". From Rfam's summary of the family: 5.8S ribosomal RNA (5.8S rRNA) is a component of the large subunit of the eukaryotic ribosome. It is transcribed by RNA polymerase I as part of the 45S precursor that also contains 18S and 28S rRNA. Functionally, it is thought that 5.8S rRNA may be involved in ribosome translocation. NCBI's taxonomy places the organism in Eukaryota, Metazoa, Chordata, Mammalia, Rodentia, Cricetidae. The record is from Ensembl.
GACUCUUAGAGGUGGAUCACUCGGCUCCUGCAUUGGUUUGAGUGCAGCUAGCUGCGAGAAUUAAUGUGAAUUGGAGGAUAUUGAUCCUCAACACUUGGAAUGCACUUGAGGCCCAUUGUUCCUCCAGGGGCUACGCCUGUCUGAGCAUAG